GGGCUUGUAGCUCAGCUGGGAGAGCGCCGCGUUCGCAACGCGGAGGUCGAGGGUUCGAACCCCUUCAGGUCCACCA
Molecule: transfer RNA, 76 nt
Filed under: Eubacteriales bacterium
Lineage: Bacteria; Bacillati; Bacillota; Clostridia; Eubacteriales
Description: tRNA-Ala
Rfam family: tRNA
About the family: Transfer RNA (tRNA) molecules are approximately 80 nucleotides in length.
Source: RNAcentral